UAUUCUGCCCCAUGGGGAAGGAUGAGAAGCUUCGACUAAGGUUCGACUCGAGCGAAGCGAGAGAACGUUGCCGCAGGCAACGGCCCGAAGGGCGAGGCGCUUUAGCGCC
Molecule: small RNA, 109 nt
Filed under: Klebsiella pneumoniae
Lineage: Bacteria; Pseudomonadati; Pseudomonadota; Gammaproteobacteria; Enterobacterales; Enterobacteriaceae
Description: partial RtT sRNA
Rfam family: RtT RNA
About the family: This family represents a bacterial cis-regulatory element known as RtT RNA. The exact function of RtT is unknown although it is thought that it may be involved in changing the cellular response in relation to amino acid starvation.
Source: RNAcentral